AGGGUGAAAGCUUCUUUCUUGGGGAUUAUGUUCUUAAUUUUGCUUAUUGGUUUUACUAUUUAGGUGCAAUAAUGUUUGGGGACACAUUGCUACCUUCAGAGUGUUCCCUAAUUGUUGAAGAGCUGAAGCAAACAUCAUUGUGUUUCCAAUGUGCUCACGGGUGACCAACAACUGUCCCUCUUGUCAACUUGGAGGCAUUGCAUAAGCAGAUAGCUAAGCUUGGAUUGUGGAAUGGUGGUUCUAAUGAAUUGUGGCAUGGGUUACAUCAGCAUGAACCCAGUUUAGAACGUGCAGCACAGCGUUUGAGCUCUGCCAGAGGUCUGUCUUGAUGAGUAACCAGUUGGUUUUCCAGAUUCAGUGGUGGCUGUGGUUCUCCACCAACACGCCUUUUUUCCUUGCCACUGUGAACCCAUUCUUUCAAUUUGUUAUGUAUAGUUCUCAUUCUGACCGCUGAAGUACCAAUAAUAUGUUGUACCAGUGUAACAGAGUCGCUUGUAGUUUGUAACGACAAUUAUUUGCACACAAUAAAAUCACACCUUAUUUUUUCA
This is a non-coding RNA of Camellia sinensis, 548 nucleotides long. The record is from RefSeq and is a predicted model, not a curated record. Lineage: Eukaryota; Viridiplantae; Streptophyta; Magnoliopsida; Ericales; Theaceae.